GACGAACGCUGGCGGCGUGCUUAACACAUGCAAGUCGAACGGAAAGGCCCUGCUUUUGUGGGGUGCUCGAGUGGCGAACGGGUGAGUAACACGUGAGUAACCUGCCCUUGACUUUGGGAUAACUUCAGGAAACUGGGGCUAAUACCGGAUAGGAGCUCCUGCUGCAUGGUGGGGGUUGGAAAGUUUCGGCGGUUGGGGAUGGACUCGCGGCUUAUCAGCUUGUUGGUGGGGUAGUGGCUUACCAAGGCUUUGACGGGUAGCCGGCCUGAGAGGGUGACCGGCCACAUUGGGACUGAGAUACGGCCCAGACUCCUACGGGAGGCAGCAGUGGGGAAUAUUGCACAAUGGGCGGACGCCUGAUGCAGCAACGCCGCGUGCGGGAUGACGGCCUUCCGGUUGUAAACCGCUUUCGCCUGUGACGACGCGUGAGUGACGGUAAUGGGUAAAGAAGCACCGGCUAACUACGUG
Molecule: ribosomal RNA, 468 nt
Filed under: uncultured bacterium
Lineage: Bacteria
Description: partial 16S ribosomal RNA
Rfam family: Bacterial small subunit ribosomal RNA
Source: RNAcentral